Molecule: ribosomal RNA, 1333 nt
Filed under: uncultured bacterium
Lineage: Bacteria
Description: bacterial SSU rRNA
Rfam family: Bacterial small subunit ribosomal RNA
Source: RNAcentral
GAACGAACGCUGGCGGCGUGGAUUAGGCAUGCAAGUCGAACGAUCCCGCAAGGGAUAGUGGCGAAAGGGUGCGUAACACGUGGGCAAUCUGCCCCCGAAACGGGAAUAACUUCGGGAAACCGAAGCUAAUACCUGAUGACACCGAGCUGCCGCAUGGUGGCACGGUGAAAGGCGUCCGCAAGGGUGCCGAUCGGGGAUGAGCCCGCGGCCUAUCAGCUAGUUGGUGAGGUAACGGCCCACCAAGGCGAUGACGGGUAGCCGGCCUGAGAGGGUGGUCGGCCACAUUGGGACUGAGACACUGCCCAGACUCCUACGGGAGGCUGCAGUCGAGGAUCUUCCGCAAUGGGGGAAACCCUGACGGAGCGACGCCGCGUGGAGGAUGAAGGCCUUCGGGUCGUAAACUCCUGUCAGUCUGGAAGAAAAUCUGCAGCAAUGUGGAUUGACCGUACAGGCAGAGGAAGCUCCGGCUAACUCCGUGCCAGCAGCCGCGGUAAUACGGAGGGAGCGAGCGUUGUUCGGAAUCAUUGGGCGUAAAGGGCAUGUAGGCGGCUCUGUAAGUCGGGUGUGAAAUCCCAUCUCUCAAGGGUGGAACGGCAUUCGAAACUGCAGGGCUUGAGUUCGGGGGAAGAGAGCGGAAUUCUCGGUGUAGCGGUGAUAUGCGUAGAUAUCGAGAAGAACACCAGCGGCGUAAGCGGCUCUCUAUCCUGAAACUGACGCUGAGGUGCGAAAGCCAGGGGAGCGAACGGGAUUAGAUACCCCGGUAGUCCUGGCCAUAAACGAUGUGCACUUGGUGUUGGGCCGCGAGGCUCAGUGCCGAAGCUAACGCAUUAAGUGCACCGCCUGGGGAGUACGACCGCAAGGUUGAAACUCAAAGGAAUUGACGGGGGCCCGCACAAGCGGUGGAGCAUGUGGCUUAAUUCGACGCAACGCGAAGAACCUUACCGGGGUUUGACAUGCAGCUGCUCAUCCUGCGAAAGCAGGACUCCUUCGAGGGUGCUGCACAGGUGCUGCAUGGCUGUCGUCAGCUCGUGUCGUGAGAUGUUCGGUUAAGUCCGCUAACGAGCGCAACCCGCGCUGUGUGUUACAAGUGUCACACAGUACCGCCGGUAUUAAGUCGGAGGAAGGUGCGGAUGACGUCAAGUCAGCAUGACCUUUAUAUCCAGGGCUACACACACGCUACAAUGGUCAACACAAUAGGUUGCCAAGCCGCAAGGCGGAGCCAAUCCUCCAAAGCUGGCCUCAGUUCAGAUUGCAGGCUGCAACUCGCCUGCAUGAAGUCGGAGUUGCUAGUAACCGCAGGUCAGCAUACUGCGGUGAAUACGUUCCCGGGGAU